This 279-nucleotide ribosomal RNA is filed under the name uncultured bacterium. RNAcentral's name for it is "partial 16S ribosomal RNA". It matches the Rfam family "Bacterial small subunit ribosomal RNA", at positions 506 to 784 of the family's 1533-position model. The record is from RNAcentral.
UGCCAGCCGCCGCGGUAAUACGAGGGGUCCAAGCGUUAAUCGGAAUCACUGGGCUUAAAGGGUACGUAGGCGGCCUUGUAAGCAUCUCGUGAAAUCCCACGGCUCAACCGUGGAAUUGCGGGGUGAACUGCAAGGCUUGAGGCAGGUAGAGGUCGUCGGAACGAUCGGUGGAGCGGUGAAAUGCGUUGAUAUCGAUCGGAACGCCGAAGGAGAAGUCAGGCGACUGGGCCUGUCCUGACGCUGAGGUACGAAAGCGUGGGUAGCGAACGGGAUUAGAUA